GAUGAACGCUGGCGGCGUGCCUAAUACAUGCAAGUCGAGCGGAAGGACGCGGCUUUUGCUUCGCUGCUGUUAGGGGCGGGCGGGUGAGUCACACGAGGAUCCCCUCCCUAUCUGACUGGGAUCACUUCGGGAACCCGGAUAUUACACCGGAUAAUCUUUUGAAACGCAUGGUUCAUAAGAGAAAGUCGGCCUUGCUGUCACUACUCGCUGGUUCCAAGCUGGAUUAGUUAGUUGGUACGGUAACGGCUUACCACGGCAAGGAUGCCUAGCCGACCUGAGAGGGUGAUCGGCCACACUGGAACUGAGACACGGUCCAGACUCCUACGGGAGGCAGCAGUAGGGAAUCUUCCGCAAUGGGCGAAAGCCUGACGCAGCAACGCCGCGUGUGUGAUGAAGGUCUUCGGAUCGUAAAACUCUGUUAUUAGGGAAGAACAUAUGUGGAAUUAACUGUGCACAUCUUGACGGUACCUAAUCAAAAAGCAACGGCUAACUACGUG
RNAcentral lists this ribosomal RNA (497 nucleotides) under uncultured bacterium. RNAcentral describes it as "partial 16S ribosomal RNA". It matches the Rfam family "Bacterial small subunit ribosomal RNA", at positions 28 to 507 of the family's 1533-position model. The record is from RNAcentral.